GCACCAGAACUGUUUUCCUUGUGAUGUUUUAUUGUAUUAACUCUUUGGAGCCACUGCAUUCAACAGAGCUGGCAAACAGUGGGGUUUUGCUUUUUGGACCUGGAACAGCUACCUGAAGUGCAGAGCCUGGACCAGACACCUCCCAGAUGUGCUGCCAGAUAGGACAAGAGGCACUGAAUUGUGCAGGAGGCAAUGGAUGUGAGCUGGCAUGCAGGAAAUUCAGAUUAGAUAUUAGCCAAGAUUUUUUUUCAUGAGAAAGGCAGUGAAAAGAUGGGAGCAGGACCCCACAGAGGCUGCAGUCUCUACCAUUGGCGAUGCUCAAGCCCGUUUAGACAAGGCUCUGCACAGCCGGAUUUAAUUGGCACUGCUCCACGCAGGGCUUGCCCUACAUGACCCUGAGCUCCCUCCCAUUCCAAAUUACUCUGCGAGUCUGUGAUCAGCACGGAGAACAAGGGGGACAGGAAGGCAGCGUCGUCAAUUCGACCAGCUCUCCACAUUCACCUCAUGCCGGAGCCAGCUGAGACCAGGAGGGAUCCUCAGACGUCUUGCGCCAGCAGCCAGGUGAGCAAGUAGAUGGCUGGAGAGGACCAGCACAACUGUACCUAGCUGUGAGUAAAGAAGGCUGAAGUAAGAUCCUGGUGUUUGUUUGAACUACAGCAAGAUAUCCAGUCGUUCAAGAAUGGACCAACCAUCUUAUUUGGGUACCUGCUGCAUCGUCAUCUGUGGAUGUGUCUCCUUUCCUCCUCACCAUGGGUGGUCCAGUGGCACAGGAUAGUUGGGGCAGCUGACAAAGAACUGAGAAACUACUGAGGAAGUUGAAAAGAGACACUCACCAGCCUACAGAAAGCUGUGCGGAACAGGGGAAUGCAAUGUGUGGAGGCCAGCACGGCCUGCCAUCGUUUUGUACACAGACAGCCCUGCCUGCAGCAGAUGUGCUUGGCAAACCGGCAAAGCUGAGAGCACCAGUGAGAGCGAAUUGGAUGGCUGUGAGGAAAAAUACGUUUUGCUGUGGCUGCACUGCUAUGAAAAUAGCCUAACGUGCCUAUGGGACUGCCUGUGAGUGUCUAACUAACACAGCAGGCCGAAGCGAAAGGUGUCAAUUUGCUGUGGCACAAGGUAUGCAUGCAGCAACUGGCGGCAAAUGUGUAUGUGAGUGUGAGAGGCUGAGUCCAUCCCUGCAUCUACAGCAAGGUUCAGGAGGAAACAGUUCAACACUGAGUAAGCAGUUCAGAUGGUCUAUUUGUGUGCCUUUCCCAGCACACAAAAGGGUUUGUGAUGGGGGGCUGUCGGUACCGCUGGUGGGGCAACAAAUACCCCAGAGGUGCCAUGGCCAAAGCACCUGAGGUGGGCUCCAAUGCCACGUCCACAACAGCUCAUGCAGCUGGGCAAGGAGCAGCCUGCUGGGCAAGAAUAAGCACCUUCAGAGCUGGUCAGCUGCUCCUGGUGUUGUUCAGAGCAAGUUUGGAGCUUCAGCAACCAAAUUCUGCCUCAGAUUCCCUGCCCAUGUCCUCUGUGAUGUGGCUGGGGCAGCAUGGACCCAGCCAGAGAGCAAGCCUCUUCACGAUAACUGGACACCCUUCUGCUUGCCACGUGAUAAUGGCACACAAUUGGACUUGAAGCACUUUAGGACAACUCCAACGAGGAGAAAUCCCCACCAGAGGACUAGCUGGUAACCCUGCUUCUGCUGAAACACACAGCGAAGGGCCUGCCACAGCUCCAUCCCACCAGUGCUACUCUGCCUACCUCUCCUGUGAGUCCUGAUACGCAUUUCCUCCUGUUCUCAGAUGCAGAAGGUUCGGGAGAGUUUUCUCCAAGGCCACAGCUAUCAUCGGUCCUGUAAAUGAUUGCAGUGGCACCAGCUCCUGUCCUUGACUGUGCUUCUUUGUCAAGCGAGGCAGUGAUAGCAAUCACUCUGGUGUUUAGCAAACCCGCAGAUCACUAUUGCCAAUCUUUGUAUAAACAAGAACUAAUUAAUCUUCACCACAUCUCUCUAAAGAAGGAUGCCAGCAGAAACUGAGACUGCUCUUUGAUUCAGCGAUAAUGAGUGAACAUUGCACCAACGACAUUUACAUUUUGCCAGUGGUAUGAAAAAACACAAGACUAUUCUUCUGAGUUCAGAUUUAGGCCCCCAAACGCACGCUGAUUUCCUGAAGUUGGAGCGCUCUGAGGCUGCUAUUGAUGUGAAUGAACAUCUUGGCAAUUUAGCAAAAGAUGACAUCAGACAUGAAAGAGAGAGCACCGCACAGAGAUGACGUGAAGUUUGCAUAAUUAAUGCUGCAUCAAAUCUCUUGCUAUGGGAAACGAGGAAAAGCCACACGAGGUGUGGGCACGGGCUACUCUCCUUGCUCCUUCUCUCGAAGCCAGCUUGCCCAGGUCUGCCCAAAAUCUUCCACACCACAGCCACCGAGCAUGAGGACAACCGCUGGCAGGAGUGAGCCUGCACCAGGCCCCACAGCAAUAUCACUUUCAUCAUCUGUGGAGUCGGUACAGCUAGAAAGAAAGCAAUCCUCCUUUGUCUUGGACUUUCAGCUGGACCAAUGCCUUCUGCUUGAGAAGAGCCGUGCUGCUCCCCCAGAGGCCAGGCUGCACCGCCGUUACGCCUUGCUGCCUCACCUCCCUGCAUGAGAGAAA
Cygnus atratus (black swan) is the source of this 2631-nucleotide long non-coding RNA. RefSeq lists it as uncharacterized. The transcript is spliced from 5 exons. Lineage: Eukaryota; Metazoa; Chordata; Aves; Anseriformes; Anatidae. The record is from RefSeq and is a predicted model, not a curated record.